AAUGGGCGCAAGCCUGAUGCAGCAACGCCGCGUGAGGGAUGAAGGCCUUCGGGUUGUAAACCUCUUUUAGCAGGGAAGAAGCGAAAGUGACGGUACCUGCAGAAAAAGCACCGGCUAACUACGUGCCAGCAGCCGCGGUAAUACGUAGGGUGCAAGCGUUGUCCGGAAUUAUUGGGCGUAAAGAGCUCGUAGGCGGUUUGUCGCGUCUGCUGUGAAAACUGGAAGCUCAACUUCCAGCCUGCAGUGGGUACGGGCAGACUAGAGUGCGGUAGGGGAGAACGGAAUUCCUGGUGUAGCGGUGGAAUGCGCAGAUAUCAGGAGGAACACCAAUGGCGAAGGCACAUCUCUGGGCCGUAACUGACGCUGAGGAGCGAAAGCGUGGGGAGCGAACAGGAUUAGAUACCCUGGUAGUCCACGCCGUAAACGGUGGGUGCUAGCUGUGGGCCACAUUCCACGUGGUCCGUGACGAAGUUAACACAUUAAGCACCCCGCCUGGGGAGUACGGCCGCAAGGCUAAAACUCAAAGGAAUUGACGGGGGCCCGCACAAGCGGCGGAGCAUGCGGAUUAAUUCGAUGCAACGCGAAGAACCUUACCAAGGCUUGACAUAUAGAGGAAAAGUGCAGAAAUGCACUCCCCGCAAGGUCUCUAUACAGGUGGUGCAUGG
Molecule: ribosomal RNA, 665 nt
Filed under: uncultured marine bacterium
Lineage: Bacteria
Description: bacterial SSU rRNA
Rfam family: Bacterial small subunit ribosomal RNA
Source: RNAcentral